Molecule: transfer RNA, 60 nt
Filed under: Franciscoloa pallida
Lineage: Eukaryota; Metazoa; Arthropoda; Insecta; Psocodea; Menoponidae
Description: tRNA-Glu
Source: RNAcentral
UUUCAUUUAGUUUAUGAAAAACAUUACUCUUUCAAAGUAAAGUACCUUAGGGGAUUGAAC